UACGUAGGUGGCGAGCGUUGUCCGGAUUUACUGGGCGUAAAGGGAGCGUAGGCGGACUUUUAAGUGAGAUGUGAAAUACCCGGGCUCAACUUGGGUGCUGCAUUUCAAACUGGAAGUCUAGAGUGCAGGAGAGGAGAAUGGAAUUCCUAGUGUAGCGGUGAAAUGCGUAGAGAUUAGGAAGAACACCAGUGGCGAAGGCGAUUCUCUGGACUGUAACUAACGCUGAGGCUCGAAAGCGUGGGGAGCAAACAGGAUUAGAUACCCCCGUAGU
Molecule: ribosomal RNA, 271 nt
Filed under: uncultured prokaryote
Description: partial 16S ribosomal RNA
Rfam family: Bacterial small subunit ribosomal RNA
Source: RNAcentral